AUAUCAUGGUGUGGACACUUUCUUAGAAGAUCAUUAUAUCUUUCCCAUACAUCAAGGAGCUGUUCCCCAUGUAUUUGGGAAAAGGCCAGGAUUUCUUUUCUCAUUU
Small nucleolar RNA from Cornus florida, 106 nucleotides. NCBI's taxonomy places the organism in Eukaryota, Viridiplantae, Streptophyta, Magnoliopsida, Cornales, Cornaceae. The record is from RefSeq and is a predicted model, not a curated record.